UGCCAUAAGCACAAAACCGCCAAAUUAGAUCAAGUAAUCGAAUAAAAUCCGUAAAAUAAGGUUCAGAUUACAUGAUUUACAUCUUAAGUUAAGUCCACACAGCAACUGCUAAGCGAGAUUUAGGCCUAAUAAUUCUUAUGUUUCCCUUAUGUUAACAGGAUGAAGCUGAAUCCAUCAAGUAACUCAAUCAAUCAAAUAUUGUUACAAACUCAAACCAACAUCAAUUCCACACAUCAAUUAACCAUCUUAUGAGCUAACAAGACAAAUCCAUGUGCAUCACAGAAAUAAAAAAAGAAGACAAAAAUUUCAUUUCAUUUAAUUUCACAGACAUGAUAAACUAAAACAGCAAAGUAUGUUGAGGAUCAAGGUAUUACUUUCGACGACAGCCAGAGCUUUAGAUUCCUCAGGCUUUUCCUCCUCCGGAGGAGUGACAGGCACGAUGGCCUUCUCCUCCGGAGUUUCAGUGACAGGAGCUGGAGCUGGAGGAGCAACCUCCUGAGGAGUCUCAGCCUCAGGCUUCUUGGAAUCUUCAACUUCUUGAGUCAUUUCUUGGAAGAUUCAGAUGGAACAAUAAUUGAGGGGGUUAAAGAAU
Molecule: long non-coding RNA, 592 nt
Filed under: Daucus carota (carrot)
Lineage: Eukaryota; Viridiplantae; Streptophyta; Magnoliopsida; Apiales; Apiaceae
Description: long non-coding RNA (DCAR_LNC001776)
Source: RNAcentral